This is a long non-coding RNA of Podarcis raffonei (Aeolian wall lizard), 329 nucleotides long. RefSeq lists it as uncharacterized. The record is from RefSeq and is a predicted model, not a curated record. The transcript has 2 exons. Lineage: Eukaryota; Metazoa; Chordata; Lepidosauria; Squamata; Lacertidae.
GCAGCCGGGCAAUAAAACCACCACAGGACAGAGUCCGGGAGGAGCACCAGCCUGCUGCCUCGACAUGGUAAGCAGGCAAGAAGUGGAAGAAGCACAGCUGAGCCACUUUUCCUCUUGCAGGGUUCCAGUUUCGUUAAUGGCAGGCAGAAAUUCAGUUGGUGCUGCUUUUCCUGUCUUGGGUGAAUUUAAUUGGGAGCUUCACUUAUUAGAAUUCUUACUGUCAUUCUGAUGUUAACAGAACAGGAGCAAGGCAAGAAAAAUGUAAAUGUGACAAUCCUUUUCCUUUUUCUUUUUCUAAUUAUAUAGAAGUAGCAUUACUGGAAAAUUGA